Molecule: ribosomal RNA, 200 nt
Filed under: uncultured bacterium
Lineage: Bacteria
Description: partial 16S ribosomal RNA
Rfam family: Bacterial small subunit ribosomal RNA
Source: RNAcentral
AGCGAACGCUGGCGGCAGGCCUAACACAUGCAAGUCGAACGGAUCCUUCGGGAUUAGUGGCGGACGGGUGAGUAACACGUGGGAACGUGCCCUUUGGUUCGGAACAACUCAGGGAAACUUGAGCUAAUACCGGAUGUGCCCUUCGGGGAAAGAUUUAUCGCCAUUGGAGCGGCCCGCGUAGGAUUAGCUAGUUGGUGGGG